This 28-nucleotide small RNA is filed under the name Bombyx mori (domestic silkworm). RNAcentral describes it as "piRNA piR-bmo-2122113". Lineage: Eukaryota; Metazoa; Arthropoda; Insecta; Lepidoptera; Bombycidae. The record is from RNAcentral.
UUUCCGUGGAUGAAUCUGGGAGGACUGA